This 2794-nucleotide long non-coding RNA is filed under the name Heterocephalus glaber (naked mole-rat). RNAcentral's name for it is "lncRNA (ENSHGLG00000043470.1)". Lineage: Eukaryota; Metazoa; Chordata; Mammalia; Rodentia; Bathyergidae. The record is from RNAcentral.
CACCAAUAAUUUUUCUGCGAUUUUGGCCAGUGACAAGAGUUUCCUUUUUUAUUAACGAACAGAAAAGAAAAGAAUCAAGUGCUCUUCACUCUCUGAUUUAUAUCACUUCAGGAAGAAAGAAGCCUUUUUGUCUCUUUAUCAAGCCUACAGUCAUGGAAUGUGUAUAUGCUUUUUUUUUUUUUUUGAGUACUGGGGAUUGAACUCAGGACCUUGCACCUCAGAACCACUGAGCUAAAUCCCCGGCCCAGUGUACAUGGUUUCUUCAGUUUCAGCCCUUGUGAUUGCCAUUCAACAGAAGUUGCUUAUACCAUGGUCAUCUUUCUUUGUAACCAAACCUUUUGCUUGUGAUUUUGCUCUCCUAAGUGUUAAUCAUUUGUGGCACCAACAACAGCACUAGUAGUUUCUUGCUUAUCCUGACACGUCACUGACUUCUUUCUUUUUUCUAGCUUUCAGUAUUUCUGGCAAUUCUUUCCUUUGCUACCCUUGGAAAUAAAACAUCUGACAUAGUCACAAGUCAUCAGCCAUGUCUAGAUGACCAUGAAUUCCAUGUACAUAACUGCUAGUAUAACAGAAAUAUGUCCAAUUAACACUGCUAGCAGAAGACUCUCCACUUGAAUGUCUCAAAACCUUAAUAUAAUAAGUAAGAAAUGGUCAAGUAGUACUUUUAAAUGACUUGACCUAAUAGUUACAUUCCCAAACUGGAGUUAAUUGCUUGCUUCAAAACUUCAUUUUCUCCAACUAGCUUACGAAUUACUGAUAGCUCUGGACCUUGAGUUUCUUGGUUUGUUGCAUUGAAAUCAUCUGUAGUGUUCCUUCCUUCUUCCAUCUUUCCAUUUCUCCAGGGAGUGAAAAAGCUUUUAGCUGAUCUUUGAUUUCUUCUUCUAUCUAACCAUGUUAUUCUUGGGGUGUAAUAAUGAAGUUUGCAUGCCCCCUUUUAUAAUCUGAUGUAGGCCCACAAGCAUUGAUGCUUUGCUAAUAUUGGUUUAUUUAUUAUGCCUUCUUUGGAAAAUCCUUUGUGAUUACUUGUUUGAAGUUAAAAAUACUGAUUGGAUACAAGAUUCUUUUUUUUUUUUUUCAGUUUUCAGCAUAUAUCUCCAACCUGCCCUCAGUCUAUAUUUGAGUUUAAUAAAUCACAGUUUAAUUUUACUAAGCUUAAUUUUCUGCUCUGUAAAUUGAGACUAAUAAUAUUAACAAUCUCAUAAGGUUGUGGUUAGGAUUAAUUUAAUACAUGCAAUCCUUAGAAUGAUGCCAGAGUUAUAUCAAACCCUUAUUCAGUGUUAAUUAUGUGGAAAAAAAUUCAUUAUCAUCUCAUGCUGAAGACAAAUUUUUUUUGUAGUUUUCUACUAUUUUUGCAAAAAACCCCCCCCACAAACAACACCCCCAAAUCAACAGCUUUUGAAGGGUUCAUGUUUAAUUCUGGGUCUGUAAAAAACUCUUGGUUGAUUUUUAGUUGUCUUGAUCCAAUUUUAUCCUCUGUAAUGAUAGUACUCUUUAAUGAUGAUUUUUUUAAAAAAACCCUAAAAACAUACAUAUUCUCUAGAAGGUAUUUAGUAUCAAGUAUCCUAAUAAAGAGUUGCUAUGAAGCAAAUCUUUUGCUAAAGGUGAUUCUCAAACUUGAGUUUACUAAAAUGGUCCAAGAAAUAUAGUAAGGGAUUUGCACUGCAGUAAUGUCUUUGAAGUCGUCGCCUGCCUUUAAUUUUUCAGUAAGCGCCUAAUCUCAUUAGAUUUCAUACACCCAGUGUUUGCACUUGCACAAAAGCUGUCCAAACAAAGCCAAAAUGUUGACACCACCGUCCUCUGAUGGCAUUUAGAAUGAAUAUAUUAAACACACUUGCACUAGCAUUGCAUUAAGCUAAGAAAUAAAUUUUGAACUUUGAACUCAGCAGGAUAAAAAGUUUUACUUGAUAGCUGAGCAAUUGUGUUGUGGUAUCAUGGGGGGAAGUCAUUGUGUUGUUCAGAGAAUCCAAAUAUGCAAACAUGCUCUGCAUACAGUAGGCACUGCACAAGUAAAGAAUUAAAGUAAGGAACAGUCCUCAAAUCCUGUUGUUAGGGACAUAAAUGGAAGGUAAAGUGGACUGGUGGAUUUGCUUUGAAAUGCACUGAAUAAACUUUGAUUAAACUCGCUUCAGAGAAAGGCUCUGAAAGAAUACCUUCUAGUAAGUGUGUGAACUAGAGUAUGCUUUACUUCAAUCCACUCUGGUAAUUCACAAAUUUAGGCAUUUUUCUUUAGAAUCUGGAAAUUAUAUUUUUAUUAAAGGUUUGGAAACUGAUGAUUAUAGAGAACAUAAAAGAUAAGACUUCUCUGACUUUUGUCAUAAAAUAAAGAUAGCAACAAGGCUAGAAUUUGGAACCAACUAAAUCUAAUGGCUAGAGCUAUUUAGUGGUUUCUAAGUAGACAGAAGUGAAAGUAAAAGAGUUUCCCCAUAUAUUGUGUAUAAAUGUUUAUAAACCUAUAUAUCUGUAAUAUGAUCAUUAAUUAAGAAAUAUAUACCAAUGAGGAAAAUACCACCCACCAAAAUCCAUUCAUUAAAGUUUGUGCACAUUACUUAUUGAAAAUUUCAUAAUUCCUCAGCCUGAUUUCUUUUACUUUAGACAUUAUUUGCUUGAGUUUUGCUUUUUGGCUUGUGUGAAAGGAUUUCACAAGAAACAUUUUUUGAAAUUUGUUGAUACCAGCUAUUAUCAGAAUAAUGUUGAAGAUAUCUAUGUUAACUUAUUGGUUUUUUGUGGAUAUCAUGAAAAAAGUUCUCUCAGGUCUUCAUAUCAAGAGCAGUAGUAAUUUCUAUGAAUAGCUGGC